Molecule: unclassified non-coding RNA, 379 nt
Filed under: soil metagenome
Description: partial contains 5.8S ribosomal RNA, internal transcribed spacer 2, and large subunit ribosomal RNA
Rfam family: 5.8S ribosomal RNA (bases 1-120)
Source: RNAcentral
GAUGAAGAACGUAGCGAAAUGCGAUAAGUAAUGUGAAUUGCAGAAUUCAGUGAAUCAUCGAAUCUUUGAACGCACAUUGCGCCCGCCAGUAUUCUGGCGGGCAUGCCUGUUCGAGCGUCAUUUCAACCCUCAAGCCCCAGCGGCCUGGUGUUGGGGACCGGCGACCUCGCCCGAGCCCGCCCUCCGGGGCGCGUGCCCGGUGCGUCCGCCGCCCCCGAAAUGAAUUGGCGGCCUCGUCGCGGCCUCCUCUGCGUAGUAGCACAACCUCGCAAGCGGGAGCGCGACGCGGCCACUGCCGUAAAACGCCCAACUUUUUUAGAGUUGACCUCGGAUCAGGUAGGAAUACCCGCUGAACUUAAGCAUAUCAAUAAGCGGAGGA